GCGCCCGUAGCUCAGCAGGACAGAGCAGCGGCUUCCUAAGCCGCAGGUCGGAGGUUCGAGUCCUCCCGGGCGUA
RNAcentral lists this transfer RNA (74 nucleotides) under Candidatus Acetothermia bacterium. RNAcentral's name for it is "tRNA-Arg". It matches the Rfam family "tRNA". Rfam says of the family: Transfer RNA (tRNA) molecules are approximately 80 nucleotides in length. Their secondary structure includes four short double-helical elements and three loops (D, anti-codon, and T loops). The record is from RNAcentral. RNAcentral also lists the same sequence under 2 other names. Lineage: Bacteria; Candidatus Bipolaricaulota.